CUUGGUCAUUUAGAGGAAGUAAAAGUCGUAACAAGGUUUCCGUAGGUGAACCUGCGGAAGGAUCAUUAAUUAUCGGUAGUUUACUACCGUUUGAAGGGGGUGGAAAGUUUCCAGGUCUUCCUGGGGGUGAGUACAUCCUAUUCUUAACCCUUGACUUUUUGCGCACUCAUGUUUCCUCGGCGGGCUUGCCUGCCGAAUGGACAAACCAAUAACCUAUUUAAUAUUUAAUCAGCGUCUGAAUUAUUUUAAUAAUUACAACUUUCAACAACGGAUCUCUUGGUUCUGGCAUCGAUGAAGAACGCAGCGAAAUGCGAUAAGUAAUGCGAAUUGCAGAAUCCGUGAGUCAUCGAAUCUUUGAACGCAUAUUGCGCCCUCUGGUAUUCCGGGGGGCGUGCCUGUUCGAGCGUCAUUAUCACCCCUCAAGCCCGGCUUGUUGUUGGAUGUGGCGGCGGCCUUUAAUGGCGUACCGCCCGUCUCAAAGAUAAUGACGGCGUCUGUGAGGACUCCUGUACACUGAGCUUUCGGGCACGUACUAGGCUGAUACUCGCAGACCCGGUCUUUAGGGCUCGCCUCGGCGGCCCAACUUUUCUAAGGUUGACCUCGGAUCGGGUAGGAAUACCCGCUGAACUUAAGCAUAUCAAUAAGCGGAGGAAAAGAAACCAACAGGGAUUGCCUCAGUAACGGCGAGUGAAGCGGCAACAGCUCAAAUUUGAAAUCUGGCCUCUUUGGGGUCCGAGUUGUAAUUUGGAGAGGAUGUUUCGGGUACGGUCCGGGCUUAAAUUUCUUGGAACAGAAUGUCACAGAGGGUGAGAAUCCCGUCUGGAGUCCGGACACGGCCUAUGUGAAACUCCUUCGACGAGUCGAGUUGUUUGGGAAU
RNAcentral lists this small RNA (877 nucleotides) under uncultured Cyphellophora. RNAcentral describes it as "eukaryotic LSU rRNA". The stretch from base 596 to 877 matches the Rfam family "Eukaryotic large subunit ribosomal RNA", at positions 1 to 281 of the family's 3401-position model. Lineage: Eukaryota; Fungi; Ascomycota; Eurotiomycetes; Chaetothyriales; Herpotrichiellaceae. The record is from RNAcentral.